GCGACUAAGCGUACACGGUGGAUGCCCUGGCAGUCAGAGGCGAUGAAGGACGUGCUAAUCUGCGAUAAGCGUCGGUGAGGUGAUAUGAACCGUUAUAACCGGCGAUUUCCGAAUGGGGAAACCCAGUGUGUUUCGACACACUAUCAUUAACUGAAUCCAUAGGUUAAUGAGGCGAACCGGGGGAACUGAAACAUCUAAGUACCCCGAGGAAAAGAAAUCAACCGAGAUUCCCCCAGUAGCGGCGAGCGAACGGGGAGGAGCCCAGAGCCUGAAUCAGUGUGUGUGUUAGUGGAAGCGUCUGGAAAGGCGCGCGAUACAGGGUGACAGCCCCGUACACAAAAAUGCACAUACUGUGAGCUCGAUGAGUAGGGCGGGACACGUGGUAUCCUGUCUGAAUAUGGGGGGACCAUCCUCCAAGGCUAAAUACUCCUGACUGACCGAUAGUGAACCAGUACCGUGAGGGAAAGGCGAAAAGAACCCCGGCGAGGGGAGUGAAAAAGAACCUGAAACCGUGUACGUACAAGCAGUGGGAGCCUCUUAAUGGGGUGACUGCGUACCUUUUGUAUAAUGGGUCAGCGACUUAUAUUCUGUAGCAAGGUUAACCGAAUAGGGGAGCCGAAGGGAAACCGAGUCUUAACUGGGCGUUAAGUUGCAGGGUAUAGACCCGAAACCCGGUGAUCUAGCCAUGGGCAGGUUGAAGGUUGGGUAACACUAACUGGAGGACCGAACCGACUAAUGUUGAAAAAUUAGCGGAUGACUUGUGGCUGGGGGUGAAAGGCCAAUCAAACCGGGAGAUAGCUGGUUCUCCCCGAAAGCUAUUUAGGUAGCGCCUCGUGAAUUCAUCUCCGGGGGUAGAGCACUGUUUCGGCAAGGGGGUCAUCCCGACUUACCAACCCGAUGCAAACUGCGAAUACCGGAGAAUGUUAUCACGGGAGACACACGGCGGGUGCUAACGUCCGUCGUGAAGAGGGAAACAACCCAGACCGCCAGCUAAGGUCCCAAAGUCAUGGUUAAGUGGGAAACGAUGUGGGAAGGCCCAGACAGCCAGGAUGUUGGCUUAGAAGCAGCCAUCAUUUAAAGAAAGCGUAAUAGCUCACUGGUCGAGUCGGCCUGCGCGGAAGAUGUAACGGGGCUAAACCAUGCACCGAAGCUGCGGCAGCGACACUAUGUGUUGUUGGGUAGGGGAGCGUUCUGUAAGCCUGUGAAGGUGUACUGUGAGGUAUGCUGGAGGUAUCAGAAGUGCGAAUGCUGACAUAAGUAACGAUAAAGCGGGUGAAAAGCCCGCUCGCCGGAAGACCAAGGGUUCCUGUCCAACGUUAAUCGGGGCAGGGUGAGUCGACCCCUAAGGCGAGGCCGAAAGGCGUAGUCGAUGGGAAACAGGUUAAUAUUCCUGUACUUGGUGUUACUGCGAAGGGGGGACGGAGAAGGCUAUGUUGGCCGGGCGACGGUUGUCCCGGUUUAAGCGUGUAGGCUGGUUUUCCAGGCAAAUCCGGAAAAUCAAGGCUGAGGCGUGAUGACGAGGCACUACGGUGCUGAAGCGACAAAUGCCCUGCUUCCAGGAAAAGCCUCUAAGCAUCAGGUAACAUUAAAUCGUACCCCAAACCGACACAGGUGGUCAGGUAGAGAAUACCAAGGCGCUUGAGAGAACUCGGGUGAAGGAACUAGGCAAAAUGGUGCCGUAACUUCGGGAGAAGGCACGCUGAUAUGUAGGUGAAGCGACUUGCUCGUGGAGCUGAAAUCAGUCGAAGAUACCAGCUGGCUGCAACUGUUUAUUAAAAACACAGCACUGUGCAAACACGAAAGUGGACGUAUACGGUGUGACGCCUGCCCGGUGCCGGAAGGUUAAUUGAUGGGGUUAGCGGUAACGCGAAGCUCUUGAUCGAAGCCCCGGUAAACGGCGGCCGUAACUAUAACGGUCCUAAGGUAGCGAAAUUCCUUGUCGGGUAAGUUCCGACCUGCACGAAUGGCGUAAUGAUGGCCAGGCUGUCUCCACCCGAGACUCAGUGAAAUUGAACUCGCUGUGAAGAUGCAGUGUACCCGCGGCAAGACGGAAAGACCCCGUGAACCUUUACUAUAGCUUGACACUGAACAUUGAGCCUUGAUGUGUAGGAUAGGUGGGAGGCUUUGAAGUGUGGACGCCAGUCUGCAUGGAGCCGACCUUGAAAUACCACCCUUUAAUGUUUGAUGUUCUAACGUGGGCCCCUUACCGGGGUUGCGGACAGUGUCUGGUGGGUAGUUUGACUGGGGCGGUCUCCUCCUAAAGAGUAACGGAGGAGCACGAAGGUUGGCUAAUCCUGGUCGGACAUCAGGAGGUUAGUGCAAUGGCAUAAGCCAGCUUGACUGCGAGCGUGACGGCGCGAGCAGGUGCGAAAGCAGGUCAUAGUGAUCCGGUGGUUCUGAAUGGAAGGGCCAUCGCUCAACGGAUAAAAGGUACUCCGGGGAUAACAGGCUGAUACCGCCCAAGAGUUCAUAUCGACGGCGGUGUUUGGCACCUCGAUGUCGGCUCAUCACAUCCUGGGGCUGAAGUAGGUCCCAAGGGUAUGGCUGUUCGCCAUUUAAAGUGGUACGCGAGCUGGGUUUAGAACGUCGUGAGACAGUUCGGUCCCUAUCUGCCGUGGGCGCUGGAGAACUGAGGGGGGCUGCUCCUAGUACGAGAGGACCGGAGUGGACGCAUCACUGGUGUUCGGGUUGUCAUGCCAAUGGCACUGCCCGGUAGCUAAAUGCGGAAGAGAUAAGUGCUGAAAGCAUCUAAGCACGAAACUUGCCCCGAGAUGAGUUCUCCCUGAGACUUAGAGUCUCCUGAAGGAACGUUGAAGACGACGACGUUGAUAGGCCGGGUGUGUAAG
This 2846-nucleotide ribosomal RNA is filed under the name Escherichia coli. RNAcentral's name for it is "partial 23S ribosomal RNA". It matches the Rfam family "Bacterial large subunit ribosomal RNA". The record is from RNAcentral. Lineage: Bacteria; Pseudomonadati; Pseudomonadota; Gammaproteobacteria; Enterobacterales; Enterobacteriaceae.